Non-coding RNA from Helicoverpa armigera (cotton bollworm), 69 nucleotides. Lineage: Eukaryota; Metazoa; Arthropoda; Insecta; Lepidoptera; Noctuidae. The record is from the annotation of a RefSeq genome assembly.
AGUCUUAUAUUCAUUUAUAAUGAUAUAAAAUUGCAAAUUUUAAGGAAUAAAUAUUAUUUAUUAAGGCUU